AACCAUAAUCUCUAUUAUAACUUAUCUGUAAACAUCACAAAUUUGUCACUUCCAGAUAGACAUCAUUAAAAAGUCAAAUUCACCUAAAAUAACCAACUUACAACAUCAUUCAUUUGGUUUUAUUGGCAUGCGACAUGCCCUGCUGGCUCAGUCAAAACUCAUAUUAUUAACUUAUUAACGUGUCAUUGUCACAAUAUAUAUUAUUAUACAUAACACACAUUCAUUCAUGUUUAAAAUAACAAAAUCGAAACCCACCUAACCCAACAAGGUAUAACAAUUCUCCAUUUUAAAAAGCCUCCAAAAACCAAAACAUUCUCUAUUCUUCUUCCUACUUUAUAUAUUAUUAACCCUCCAUAAUAUUUUCAACCUAUUAUGGAGGGUCUUUUACCUUUGAUUUUAAGAGUAAUCAGAAAAAGCAAAAGUCGCAAGAAAUACGAAUGUCUUUCAACAGGUGCAGCUCUACGUUACAACGAGUUUCCAGGUUUCCAUGGAGAACCAGGCUAUAAUUCAAGGGUUGAUGGUGAUCAAUACGCAGAAAAAAUCAUCGAUUUUCGAAGAUAUAAUUCUAUUUCAGAAUUCACUUCUUCGCCUAAGCAAAUAAACCGUUCUCGUUCUGGUGUUGCUGACUCGAAGGAAUUCGUGACUCAUAAAGGAUUUCCAUGCUCCAGAGGUGUAUCAUGAAUUCUGAUACUUUGAUCCAAAUAAUGUUUUCAUUUUUAAAAUUAUGUUCAAUCAUUCCAUGUGUUUAAAAGAUUGGUGUAUGAUGAAAGUUCAUAUUAAUUGAAAUGAUUUAAUCGUUAAAUUUUGAAGUUGUUCUUUCAUCUAGCUUUACAUCAUUAUUGAUUUUUGAUGAAUGAUUGAAUGGAUUGUAUUUGGUGCAAAUUUGGUUCAUUACAAUCUGUUGUUUUUUUAAUUCACAUAUCAGAAGAGGUUUUGAUUUUAAUGUAUGUCUGAUAUAGGAAAUACUUUAUAAUUGUUUUGUUUGAUUUUUUAAACUAGGAAAUCAACUACCUAAUCUUCUAUUUUGAUUCUCACAAAUAUGAAUUAAGUAAUUUUUAAGUAUUAGAAAUCAUUCUUAUUCUUACUUUCAAAUUUUUCUGAGAAAAAUAAAAAUCUUCUCACACAAUCCGAAUAAAAAGGCAUGUCUUCGUAACACAUGUUUGUUAAAUUGGUUGUGAAGAUGUGAUUUUUAGAGUAUUUUACAAAAUUUUGUUAUGU
Molecule: long non-coding RNA, 1218 nt
Filed under: Lathyrus oleraceus (garden pea)
Lineage: Eukaryota; Viridiplantae; Streptophyta; Magnoliopsida; Fabales; Fabaceae
Description: Pisum sativum (pea) long non-coding RNA (PSAT_LNC028118)
Source: RNAcentral